UACGUAGGGUGCAAGCAUUAAUCGGAAUUAUUGGGCGUAAAGGGCGUGUAGGCGGAAUCGUAAGUCAGAUGUGAAAUUUCGGGGCUCAACCUCGAAGCUGCAUUUGAAACUGUGAAUCUUGAGGGUUGACGGAGAAAACGGAAUUCCACGUGUAGCGGUGAAAUGCGUAGAUAUGUGGAAGAACACCUGUGGCGAAAGCGGUUUUCUAGUUAAUACCUGACGCUGAGGCGCGAGAGCAAGGGGAGCAAACAGG
This 253-nucleotide ribosomal RNA is filed under the name uncultured prokaryote. RNAcentral describes it as "partial 16S ribosomal RNA". It matches the Rfam family "Bacterial small subunit ribosomal RNA", at positions 524 to 776 of the family's 1533-position model. The record is from RNAcentral.